This 760-nucleotide long non-coding RNA is filed under the name Coffea arabica (coffee). Its description in RNAcentral is "long non-coding RNA (CARA_LNC000338)". The record is from RNAcentral. Lineage: Eukaryota; Viridiplantae; Streptophyta; Magnoliopsida; Gentianales; Rubiaceae.
UCAUCCCGGAGGAUGGGAGAAGGAAGGCUUAUGCAGAAGCCCUUGCAAAAGCCAGGAAAGAGGAAGAGGCUACAAGAGCAACAGAGAAAUCUCGUCUAGCUGCGGAAGCAGCAAAGAUGCGCAAAGAAGAGUUAAAGAAACUUGCAAAGCAGGAAGCUGAGGCUGCCAGUUUUGCAGAACAAGCCCAAGAGAAGGCGGCUGCUGCAGGAGUUUCAGUUGAGACCUCUUAAGUAAAGCCCAAGGCAUAAGCUCAGGACUAUCUUGGGAAAACCUGAGCUCACAGCUGAAAUCAGCUGUUCAGCAACCUGCGGAAGCAGCAAAGAUGCGCAAAGAAGAGUUAAAGAAACUUGCAAAGGCAGGAAGCUGAGGCUGCCAGUUUUGCAGAACAAGCCCAAGAGAAGGCGGCUGCUUCAGGAGUUUCAGUUGAGAGCCUCUUAAGUAAAGCCCAAGGCAUAAGCUCAGGACUAUCUUGGAAAACCUGAGCUCACAGCUGAAAUCAGCUGUUCAGCAACCCGGCGAGGACUCUAAAGUGCAGGUCGCUACUGUGAGGGGUCAGGUUAGGGCUCGAAAUCUGCCUGUCCAAAAAGCUGUAGUCAAAAAAUCUGCUUCCUUAAAAUCAAGGGAGGUUCCAAAGCCAAAGGCCAAACAACCAGAGUCCAAGACAGAGGUCAGAAAGGUUUUUGGCGGGUUGUUUCAGCAAGAAACCAUUUAUGUUGAUGAUGACUAAGAAGAUUGGAGCUACAUAUAUUCUAUUCUCUGU